ACAUACGACCAUAGACUCAAGAGAAUUGGGGAGAAUUGGGCAUCAGAAUUGGGCAUCCCGUCCGCUCUGCCAUACACAAGCUUGAGAUCGGUGGAUUAGUAGUUGGGUGGGUGACCACCAGCGAAUACCCACUGUUGUAUGUU
This 143-nucleotide ribosomal RNA is filed under the name Pseudogymnoascus sp. VKM F-4517 (FW-2822). Lineage: Eukaryota; Fungi; Ascomycota; Leotiomycetes; Thelebolales; Thelebolaceae. The record is from RNAcentral.